UNUCAGCAGCAGUCACUGCCAUCAACACCC
Molecule: non-coding RNA, 30 nt
Filed under: Homo sapiens (human)
Lineage: Eukaryota; Metazoa; Chordata; Mammalia; Primates; Hominidae
Source: RNAcentral